CGGGGGGGUAUACCCGAAAAAUGAAAAAACCCAAACUUUGAAGGUCGAUAUCUCGGCUUCUAUGGGAGCUAUCGGAAAAAUUCCAACGGUUUUGUCUUAGUUUCGUCAUUCUGAAUCCAACGAGACCAUCCGCAAGGUCGUAGCUCUUACGAUAGCCGAGAUAUGGCAUUUUUGAUGCCCAUUUUUGGCCUCAAAAACGGACGUCGAAAACGACUUUUUCAGGAUUUUCAAAGUGCUCUCAUUCCCUUAGUUCUGCUCGGAUCCUGUUAUAACCCGGUGUUUUCGUAAUCUAGGUGAUCCAAAUAAGACGCUGGUAUACUUAGUUUGAUUUCGAAAAAAAUCAAUUUUUGGUGAAAAAUUCGAUACGGGGGGGUAUACCCGAAAAAUGAAAAAACCCAAACUUUGAAGGUCGAUAUCUCGGCUUCUAUGGGAGCUAUCGGAAAAAUUCCAACGGUUUUGUCUUAGUUUCGUCAUUCUGAAUCCAACGAGACCAUCCGCAAGGUCGUAGCUCUUACGAUAGCCGAGAUAUGGCAUUUUUGAUGCCCAUUUUUGGCCUCAAAAACGGACGUCGAAAACGACUUUUUCAGGAUUUUCAAAGUGCUCUCAUUCCCUUAGUUCUGCUCGAAUCCUGUUAUAACCCGGUGUUUUCGUAAUCUAGGUGAUCCAAAUAAGACGCUGGUAUACUUAGUUUGAUUUCGAAAAAAAUCAAUUUUUGGUGAAAAAUUCGAUACGGGGGGGUAUACCCGAAAAAUGAAAAAACCCAAACUUUGAAGGUCGAUAUCUCGGCUUCUAUGGGAGCUAUCGGGAAAAUUCCAACGGUUUUGUCUUAGUUU
This is a long non-coding RNA of Anthonomus grandis grandis, 833 nucleotides long. RefSeq lists it as uncharacterized. The transcript is spliced from 3 exons. NCBI's taxonomy places the organism in Eukaryota, Metazoa, Arthropoda, Insecta, Coleoptera, Curculionidae. The record is from RefSeq and is a predicted model, not a curated record.